UUAAACUUGAGAGUUUGAUCAUGGCUCAGAACGUACGCUGGCGGCACGCCUAACACAUGCAAGUCGAACGAAGUAGCAAUACUUAGUGGCAGACGGGUGAGUAACAUGUGGGUAUCUGCCCUUUGGCCUGGAAUAACACGAGGAAACUUGUGCUAAUACCGGAUAAGUCUUUACGGAGAAAGCUUUAUGCACCAUUGGAUGAGCCCGCACUUGAUUAGUUUGUUGGUGGGGUAAUGGCCUACCAAGACUGUGAUCAAUAGCUGAUUUGAGAGGAUGAUCAGCCACAUUGGGACUGAGACACGGCCCAAACUCCUACGGGAGGCAGCAGUGGGGAAUCUUGCACAAUGGAGGAAACUCUGAUGCAGCGAUGCCGCGUGAGUGAAGAAGGCCCUUGGGUUGUAAAGCUCUUUCGUCGGGGAAGAAAAUGACUGUACCCGAAUAAGAAGGUCCGGCUAACUUCGUGCCAGCAGCCGCGGUAAUACGAAGGGACCUAGCGUAGUUCGGAAUUACUGGGCUUAAAGAGUUCGUAGGUGGUUGAAAAAGUUGGUGGUGAAAUCCCAGAGCUUAACUCUGGAACUGCCAUCAAAACUUUUCAGCUAGAGUAUGAUAGAGGAAAGCAGAAUUUCUAGUGUAGAGGUGAAAUUCGUAGAUAUUAGAAAGAAUACCAAUUGCGAAGGCAGCUUUCUGGAUCAUUACUGACACUGAGGAACGAAAGCAUGGGUAGCGAAGAGGAUUAGAUACCCUCGUAGUCCAUGCCGUAAACGAUGUGUGUUAGACGUUGGAAAUUUAUUUUCAGUGUCGCAGCGAAAGCGAUAAACACACCGCCUGGGGAGUACGACCGCAAGGUUAAAACUCAAAUGAAUUGACGGGGACCCGCACAAGUAGUGGAGCAUGUGGUUUAAUUCGAAGAUACGCGCAGAACCUUACCAACACUUGACAUGUUCGUCGCGACUUUAAGAGAUUAAAGUUUUCGGUUCGGCCGGACGAAACACAGGUGCUGCAUGGCUGUCGUCAGCUCGUGUCGUGAGAUGUUGGGUUAAGUCCCGCAACGAGCGCAACCCUCACUUUUAGUUGCCAUCAUUAAGUUGGGCACUCUGAAAGAACUGCCAGUGAUAAGCUGGAGGAAGGUGGGGAUGACGUCAAGUCCUCAUGGCCCUUACGUGUUGGGCUACACACGUGCUACAAUGGUAUCUACAACAGGAAGCAAGACUGCGAAGUUAAGCAAAUCCCUAAAAGAUACCUCAGUUCGGAUUGCACUCUGCAACUCGAGUGCAUGAAGCUGGAAUUACUAGUAAUCGUGGAUCAGCGUGCCACGGUGAAUGCGUUCCCGGGUCUUGUACACACCGCCCGUCACACCAUGGGAGUUGGUUCUACCUUAAGGCAAGGUUUAAAACCCUUGACCACGGUAUAGUCAGCGACUGGGGUGAAGUCGUAACAAGGUAGCCGUAGGGGAACCUGCGGCUGGAUUACCUCCUUUCU
Molecule: ribosomal RNA, 1479 nt
Filed under: Candidatus Pelagibacter communis
Lineage: Bacteria; Pseudomonadati; Pseudomonadota; Alphaproteobacteria; Candidatus Pelagibacterales; Candidatus Pelagibacteraceae
Description: Candidatus Pelagibacter ubique 16S ribosomal RNA
Rfam family: Bacterial small subunit ribosomal RNA
Source: RNAcentral